UACGAAGGGGGCUAGCGUUGUUCGGAAUCACUGGGCGUAAAGCGCACGUAGGCGGACUUGUUAGUCAGGGGUGAAAUCCCGGGGCUCAACCCCGGAACUGCCUUUGAUACUGCAAGUCUUGAGUCCGAGGGAGGUGAGUGGAAUUCCUAGUGUAGAGGUGAAAUUCGUAGAUAUUAGGAAGAACACCAGUGGCGAAGGCGGCUCACUGGCUCGGUACUGACGCUGAGGUGCGAAAGCGUGGGGAGCAAACAGG
RNAcentral lists this ribosomal RNA (253 nucleotides) under uncultured bacterium. Its description in RNAcentral is "partial 16S ribosomal RNA". It matches the Rfam family "Bacterial small subunit ribosomal RNA", at positions 524 to 776 of the family's 1533-position model. The record is from RNAcentral.